UGGCUCAGGAUGAACGCUAGCGGCAGGCCUAACACAUGCAAGUCGAGGGGUAACAGGGUAGCAAUAUCGCUGACGACCGGCGCACGGGUGAGUAACGCGUAUGUAACCUUCCUUUAACUGGGGGAUAGCCCGGAGAAAUUCGGAUUAAUACCCCAUAACAUUGCGGAGAGGCAUCUUUCUGCAAUUAAAGCUCCGGCGGUUAAAGAUGGGCAUGCGUGCCAUUAGCUUGUUGGUGAGGUAACGGCUCACCAAGGCUACGAUGGUUAGGGGGUCUGAGAGGAUGAUCCCCCACACUGGUACUGAGACACGGACCAGACUCCUACGGGAGGCAGCAGUGAGGAAUAUUGGGCAAUGGGCGCAAGCCUGACCCAGCCAUGCCGCGUGAAGGAUGAAUGCCCUAUGGGUUGUAAACUUCUUUUGUACGGGACGAAUCUCUCGAACGUGUUCGGGACUGACUGUACCGUACGAAUAAGCAUCGGCUAACUCCGUGCCAGCAGCCGCGGUAAUACGGAGGAUGCAAGCGUUAUCCGGAUUCAUUGGGUUUAAAGGGUGCGUAGGCGGAAGAAUAAGUCAGUGGUGAAAGCCUGCGGCUUAACCGUAGAAUUGCCAUUGAUACUGUUUUUCUUGAGUAUAGUUGAGGUGGGCGGAAUGUGUAAUGUAGCGGUGAAAUGCUUAGAUAUUACACAGAACACCAAUUGCGAAGGCAGCUCACUAAGCUGUUACUGACGCUGAGGCACGAAAGCGUGGGGAGCAAACAGGAUUAGAUACCCUGGUAGUCC
RNAcentral lists this ribosomal RNA (779 nucleotides) under uncultured bacterium. RNAcentral's name for it is "bacterial SSU rRNA". It matches the Rfam family "Bacterial small subunit ribosomal RNA", at positions 20 to 796 of the family's 1533-position model. The record is from RNAcentral.